AGACAGGUGGUGCAUGGUUGUCGUCAGCUCGUGUCGUGAGAUGUUGGGUUAAGUCCCGCAACGAGCGCAACCCUUGAUCUUAGUUGCCAGCACUUCGGGUGGGCACUCUAAGGUGACUGCCGGUGACAAACCGGAGGAAGGUGGGGAUGACGUCAAAUCAUCAUGCCCCUUAUGACCUGGGCUACACACGUACUACAAUGGCCGGUACAACGGGCUGUGAAGCCGCGAGGUGGAACGAAUCCUAAAAAGCCGGUCUCAGUUCGGAUUGCAGGCUGCAACUCGCCUGCAUGAAGUCGGAAUUGCUAGUAAUCGCGGAUCAGCAUGCCGCGGUGAAUACGUUCCCGGGUCUUGUACACACCGCCCGUCACACCACGAGAGUUUAUAACACCCGAAGUCGGUGGGGUAACCGCAAGGAGCCAGCCGCCGAAGGUGGGAUAGAUGAUUGGGGUGAAGUCGUAACAAGGUAGCCGUAUCGGAAGGUGCGGCUGGAUCACCUCCUUUCUAUGGAGA
RNAcentral lists this ribosomal RNA (510 nucleotides) under Paenibacillus taichungensis. RNAcentral's name for it is "bacterial SSU rRNA". It matches the Rfam family "Bacterial small subunit ribosomal RNA", at positions 1032 to 1533 of the family's 1533-position model. RNAcentral also lists the same sequence under 1 other name. Lineage: Bacteria; Bacillati; Bacillota; Bacilli; Caryophanales; Paenibacillaceae. The record is from RNAcentral.